This 687-nucleotide ribosomal RNA is filed under the name Triticum aestivum (bread wheat). RNAcentral's name for it is "partial small subunit ribosomal RNA". Lineage: Eukaryota; Viridiplantae; Streptophyta; Magnoliopsida; Poales; Poaceae. The record is from RNAcentral.
AUGUGUGUUCGAAAAGACCAAGGAGGAAUGGAUUUCUGAGAUAUACACUAUUUUAAUCUGACAUUGUUAGCUAAACAAGCUUGGUGUCUCCUGGAUAAUCCUUAAUCGUUAUGUGCCACAAUCUUAAGAGCCAAAUAUUUCCCGGUGGAUGAUUUGAUGAGCACACGUUUAAAAAAGGGUUCCUUCUUUACUUGGAAAAUCAUUAUGGCUGGAGUGGACUCUCUCGAGAAUGGUUAUAUAUGGAAGGUUGGUAAUGGAGGAAAUACUGAUAUAUGGAGAGAUGCAUGGAUCCUAAAUUGUGCGACUAGGAGAGUCACUGCACCUAGAAGAGGGGAUCUCCUGAUGAAAGUUUCUGCUCUUAUUGAUCCAGUUACAAAUUUUUGGAAUGAGGAUUUGGUGAGACAAACAUUGUGGCCACUUGAUGCUCAAAGAGUCCUGGCAAUUCCUCUCCCAAUGCACAAUAUACCGGAUUUCAUUGCUUGGGCUACACUAAAAACAGUUACAUUGUAUGAUCAACUUAUUUGGAAGAAUCGAGUAAACAACAUGGGAGGAAAUUGGAAUAUACAAAUGGCAUGGGUAGAAUCAAGGCUAACCCUAUUUGGGGCAAGAUAUGGAAAUUAUCUGGUCCGACAAAGGUUAAAAGAUUUAUCUGGCGUACGCUUCAUGGGACUAUAUUGUGUCGUGUGA